UACGAGGGGGGCAAGCGUUGUUCGGAAUUAUUGGGCGUAAAGGGCGCGUAGGCGGUCAGCACAAGUCAGUUGUGAAAUCUCCGAGCUUAACUCGGCAAGGUCAACUGAUACUGUGCGGCUAGAGUGCAGAAGGGGCAACUGGAAUUCUUGGUGUAGCGGUGAAAUGCGUAGAUAUGAAGAGGAACACCUGCGGCGAAGGCGGGUUGCUGGGCUGACACUGACGCUGAGGCGCGAAAGCCAGGGGAGCGAACGGG
RNAcentral lists this ribosomal RNA (254 nucleotides) under uncultured bacterium. RNAcentral describes it as "partial 16S ribosomal RNA". It matches the Rfam family "Bacterial small subunit ribosomal RNA", at positions 524 to 776 of the family's 1533-position model. The record is from RNAcentral.